GAUGAAGAACGCAGCGAAAUGCGAUAAGUAGUGUGAAUUGCAGAAUUCAGUGAAUCAUCGAAUCUUUGAACGCACAUUGCGCCCCUUGGUAUCCCGAGAGGCAUGCCUGUUCGAGCGUCAUUUCACCACUCAAGCCUGGCUUGGUGUUGGGCGACGUCCCCUUUGGGGACGCGCCUCGAAACGCUCGGCGGCGUGGCACCGGCUUUAAGCGUAGCAGAAUCUUUCGCUUUGGAAGUCGGGGCCCCGUCUGCCGGAAGACCUACUCGCAAGGUUGACCUCGGAUCAGGCAGGGAUACCCGCUGAACUUAAGCAUAUCAAUAAGCGGAGGA
This 329-nucleotide unclassified non-coding RNA is filed under the name soil metagenome. Its description in RNAcentral is "partial contains 5.8S ribosomal RNA, internal transcribed spacer 2, and large subunit ribosomal RNA". The stretch from base 1 to 120 matches the Rfam family "5.8S ribosomal RNA", at positions 35 to 154 of the family's 154-position model. The record is from RNAcentral.